GGGAUAUAAAAUUGAGAAUUUCCUGGCAUAGUGGUGCACUCCUAUAAUCCCAGGGACUUGGGAGGCUGAGGCAGGAGGAUCACAAAUUCAAAGCCAGCCUCAGCAAUUUAGCGAGGCUGUGUCUCUAAGCCAAAUAUAAAAGGAUUGGGGACAUGGCUCAGCAGUUAAGCGCCCUUGGGUUCAAUACCCUGUACAAAAAAAAAAAAAAAUUGAGAAUCAUCAUUGUAUGGAUGUUAUUUAAAACCAUGUGAUUAGAAGAGAUUACCUUACCAAGGGAACAAGUGUAGAUAGAAAAACAUGCAAAACAUGCAAGGACUGAGUUCUUGGUCUCUCCAAUAUCAAGUAGUUUCAGAGAUGAGUUGGAACCAUCAGAGAGACAAGGAACAGUAAGUGUAGUGGGGAAAAAAAUUCCAGGAGAUGGCAGUCUGCUGGCGGCCAACAGAAGGAAACUUAUUGGGAGAAGGGAAAGAUCAAAUGCUGCCUAUAGAUUAAGUGAUAUGAGUUUGAGAAUUGAUUUAGAAGGUUGUUGGCGACCUCAAGAAUACUUUGGAUAGAGUGGUGGGGUGAAAAUUUGAGUGUGGAUGAGUUCAAGAAAGAUUGGGAGGAGAGGAGGAAACAGCAGAGACAACUCUUUGGAGGAGUUUUGUUGUAAGAAAGGAAAGAAAUUGUGUGAGAGCUAAAAGGAGAAGUAAGGUCAAGAGGAAUUUUAAGUGGGCAUAAAACUAUGUGUUGUUUGUUGACGGUGAAGAGCACGGGCAGAAAUGGAGCUGGGCAUGGUGAUGCAUGCUGUAAUCCCAGCGGCUUGGGAGGCUGAGGUAGGAGGAUCACAGGUUUGAGGUCAACCUCAGCAACUUAGUGAGGCUGUGAGCAAACUAGUGAGAUUGCUCAAAAUAAAAAAUAUAAAGGGCUGAAGAUGUGGUUAAGCACCCUUGGGUUCAAUCUCUGAUAUCAAACAAACAAACAAACAAACAAAAAAAACAACAAAGAGACAAAGCUGAUGCUGCUGGAGAGUGUGAGGACGAUGUCCAGAGUGGUGUUCCUGGAUUAGGUGAGGAGGGCUGGGAUUGGGUAUGGAGAAGGACAGGCUGCUUUGGUUAGGGGCAUACAUGGUUCAUUCAAGUGAAAAGAGAACACAUAGUAUUUGAGGACAGGUGCAGGGAGAUGGAUGGACAUAGUGGAAGCUUGUGGGGAUUCUCUGUGGAUGGCCUCUGCUCUCCUAGUGAAUCAGGAAGCCAGGUCAGUGGAGUGAGGGUGGAGGAAAGGCUGGGAGGUCGCAUGUGAGGAGUCAUAAAAUAGUCAUCUAGGUGCACCAGAAUCACCUGAGGGCCUGUGAAAGCCUUCCCACCUGCAGGUGUUCUAUUCAGGAGGUCCGCGGUGGGCCUUAGAUUUUGCUUUUUUUUUUUUUUCCAGCACCAGGGAUUGAAUCCAGGGGCACUUAACUACUGAGCCACAUCUCCAGCCCUUUUUUUGUAUUUUAUUUAGAGACAGGGUCUUGCUAAGUUGCUGAUGCUGACUUUGAACUUGCAACCCUCCUGCUCAGCCUCCCGACAUUGGGAUUACAGGUAUGUCUCGCUGUGCCCCACAGUUUUAUAUUUCUAAUAAGUCUUCAGUCACAGCUGCAGCUGCUGGUCUGGGAAUGACUCUGAGGAUUACUGAGCUGGAGAAGGACAGUGAAUGGACUGCAGGAUGCAGCAUGGUCACCAGGCAGCAUCAAGGGCCCGUUUGAGGUUAGGAAUCAUGACUCCAAAGCGUCUCUGAUCAGCAUUCUUUUUCAUCUCAUCCACAAUUACUUGUGCAGGCAAGUCAAUUGACUUGCCCUGGGGCAUAUAACAGGCUCCACAUUUCUUCCUCUUUAAAAAAACAACAAUUUUGUAGGGCGCAGUGGCAUAUGCCUAUAAUCCAGUGGAUUGGGAAGCUGAAACAGGAGGAUCUCAAGUGCAAGGCCUGCCUUGGUGACUUAGCAAGCCCCUAAACAACUUAGUGAGACCUUGUCUCAUAAAAGAAAAAGGGCUGGGGAUGUAGCUCAGUAGUAAAGUGCUUAUAACAAUGUCCAACAAUUUCUGGCACAUGAGGAGUGCCCAAGAUCACUGCCAUCCACCAGCUUCUACCUGCCCGGGGCUGAUGAUGCUUAAUCUGCAUUUUCGGUAGACCUCAUACCUGAGCACCAGUCAUGAUUACCCAUCUGCGUCUUGACAUACCCUUGAAGGUUCCAUCAGAUCCCAACCUUAACAGGAGCCCAAACCUUAAACUCAUCAUUUUCUAUUCAGUUUCUUCCCUUUCUUUUUCCCCAUGUCCUUUCAAGGUGCCAUAUCAUCUAUCCCAUUCUCCAGCCAGAAAUUUGGUGGUUUCUAGGGUUCUAGUUUUUCUCACUUCACUAAUUUAUUUCCUUCCUUCCUUCCUUCCUUCCUUCCUUCCAUCCUUCCUUCCUUCUUCCCUCUGCCCCUUGUACUAGGGAUUGAACUCAGGGUGCUUAACCACUGUGCUACAUCCCCAACACUUUUUUAAAAAUUUGAGAAAGGGUCUUACUUAGUUGCUUAGAGCCUUGCUAAGUUGCUGAGGCUGUUUCGAACUUGUGAUCCUCCUGCCUCAGCCUCUCCAGUUGCUGGGAUUACAGGGGUGCACCACCAAGCCAAGCUCAUUCACUAAUUCUUAUAAAAAUAUUAUCAUAACUCAGAUAUGCAUAAAACAUUACACCUGUUUUCUGUGAUAUAUCUACAUCUCUAUUUUGAGUCAGUCCCUAUUCUACUGGAGUGGUGGACACUUAAUUUUAGUCAGCUGGAGGAAUCUUGCCUCCUCUUUCCAGGAUUUGCCCAACUUCUAGAAGGAUGGUUCAUAUGUAUUUUUUUUUUCCCCCAAAGCACAAGAGGAAGAAGAUCCUGUUACUAGAAUGGCCACCUUGUGUCCACUGAGACACCUUGUGUCUAUUGCCUGAUUCCUGCUCAUGUGGCUUCUGUAGGUCUCGUGUCACUAUGUCACUCCUGGACACAUGGACAUCAUCCUGCUGCUACUUUUUCCUGGAGUGGAAUGAGAAGGUGUGAUGCUUUCUGUGGCUCUAGCUGCCUUCAAAAUGGUUGCCCUCUGCAGUUUUUCUCUUUCUGGGCCUUGUCUCCUUUCUGGCUCUAGCCAGGACUUGGCUUGGGGCUCUGUCAGACCUCUAACACCUAUGUGGGGGUCUGCUGCCUCUUCAUGCUCAGGAGUCCAAGGACAGAGCCACUGACCUCCAUGUCUGUCACUGCUUUCCCAAGGCUGGCUCCUGUCUGUGGUGCUAACACCAAUGUGAGGUUUUGGCUUGUCCAAGGUUAUGUUCUCCAUGUUUUUGUCCAGGUGGGAAUCCUGCCUGUUUUCUGAAGACCCUGAAAGGCCUAGGCAAUUGGAAUUUAAAAGCCAGAAGAGUUUCCCAUUUCCCACUUGUUUCUUUCUUUCUUUCUUUCUUUCUUUCUUUCUUUCUUUCUUUCUUUCUUUCUUUCUUUCUUUCUUUCUUUCUUCUUCUUCUUCCUUCUUCCUUCUUCCUCUUCCUCCUCCUCUUCCUCCUCCUCCUCUUCCUCCUCCUCUUCCUCCUCCUCUUCCUCCUCUUCCUCCUCCUCUUCCUCCUCCUCCUCUUCCUCCUCCUCCUCUUCCUCCUCCUCUUCUUCUUCCUCUUCCUCUUCUUCCUCCUCUUCUUCCUCUUCCUCCUCUUCUUCCUCUUCCUCCUCUUCUUCCUCUUCCUCUUCUUCCUCCUCUUCUUCCUCUUCCUCUUCUUCCUCCUCUUCUUCCUCUUCCUCUUCUUCCUCCUCUUCUUCCUCCUCUUCUUCCUCUUCCUCUUCUUCCUCCUCUUCUUCCUCUUCUUCUUCUUCCUCCUCUUCUUCCUCUUCCUCUUCUUCCUCCUCCUCCUCUUCCUCUUCUUCCUCCUCCUCUUCCUCUUCCUCUUCCUCUUCCUCCUCCUCCUCCUCCUCUUCCUCUUCUUCCUCCUCCUCCUCCUCCUCCUCCUCCUCCUCUUCUGGUUUACCACUGAGCUACAUCCCCAGCCCUUUUAAUUUUUUUUUUUUUUUGAGAUAGGGACUUGCAGAGUUGCUGAGGCUGACCUUGAACUUGAGAUCCUCCUGCCUCAGCCUCCCAAGUUGCUGAAAUUACAGAUGAGCCCCAGCACACCCAGCUCCUCUCCUUCUUUUAAGCCCCUUGCUCUCUGAAGCUCCUGGCAUCUGGUCAUGCUACAACCAGCCUUACUUGUGGCUGUCAACUGUGGGCACUUGGUAUCUUUCCACCCUUCUCCCUCAUCAUUCUCAGUGAUUUUAGUCUCCCUUUCAGCCUGUGAGGCCCCUGAUCCCCCCCUUUCUCACUAUGUGUCAUCUGCUUGCCCAAGAACAAUUUCACAUUCUUACCCAGUCUGGACUCUAAAAGGUCUCCUCGCCUCCUUCAGUAUUGGGGAUUGAAUCCAGGGAUACUAUACCCUAGCUAGCCCUUUUUAUUUAAUUUUAAAAUUUUGAGACAGGGUCUACAUUCAUGAUGACGAAUCUCAGAUGGACAUAGAGCUGCCCAGUGUUUCUAUCAUGUCUGGCUGCUAUGAUUAUUUUCCCACUGAAUUUAGCUUUCUAUUGCCACAUAUCACAUACUCAGAAAUGUAGUGGCUUAAAAAAACAAUACUUGUUGCCUCACAGUCUGUAGGUCAGAAAUCCUGGUGGGCUCAGCUGGUUCUCUGGGUAGGCGCUCACAAGGCCAAAAUCAAGGUGCCAGCUGGGCUGGAUCCUGUCUGGAGGUUUGUUCAGGUAGUUGGCAGGACCUAGUUCCUCAGAGCUGCAGGGGUGAAGGCCCUGUUUCCUCACUAGCUGCCAGCUGGGUCUGUCGUCUGCUCCUAGUGGCUAGGAGUAUUCUUUCUGUGGCCAUCUGUGGCACAUUGAAUCACCUUUGUGCUUUGAUCUUUCCUAGACCACUGGCCAGAGAAAGGGCUCUGAUUUUAAGGGCUCAUGUGAUUGGAUGAGGCCUACCCGGAUAAUCCCCGCCUUUUAAGAUUAAGUAUGCCAUACACACUAGAAAGCACGGGGAUCAGAUGAGAUCUGAUCCCCAGACUCCAGGGGUUAGGGAUAUGUGAUCAUGGAAGGCUAUUUUUAGAAUUCUGCUACCACUAUGACUUUCUGAUAUAUGAUGAGUUUCUAUUAUUUCCUUAAAAUUUUGGGAGCAUUGAACCUUGAGAGGUUAAGGUCAUUUAACCAGGAUUUGAAGCUAGAUCUCUCUGACUCCUGGAAAUAAGCAUUUGCCCGUGCUGCUUGGAGUAUUACUUCCUUUUUUCAAAAUGCCCCCACACCCCUCCAUCUCUUUAGUGUCUAUGGUUCAGCUGAUGACCUUUUCAUGUGCUUCCUUGAGAAAAUAGUGGCUUCUCAUAUGCAAAGCCCUGUCCUUUGCUGUUUUCUGUUGCUAUGACUUAAUUCUCCAAAUUAGGAAAUAAAAAAAAAUUGAUUUGAUUCUGGGUUCUGGAGGCUGGGAGAUCCAAGUGUAUAGGGCCGGCAUCUGCUUGUCAUCUGGGAAGGGCCUUCUGGCUGCAUCAUGACAUGUCAGAGGCCCUCUUACGGUGAGAGAGCAAGUGUGGCUUCUUAUAAAGCCACCAAUGCCAUCAUGGGGUCCCACUCUCAUGACCUUAUCUACUCCUUACUACCUUCAGAGCCCCCACUUUCAAUUACCACUAACAUAUUUGGGGAUUAAGUUUACAAAAUGAACUUUUGGGGGGACACAUUUAAACCAUAGUAAGCCCCAAAACUUUGAGUCACAAACCUCCUCCUUCUACACCGAUUUUGUCUUUUUUUUUCCCUGACUCUAGAUCCCUCCUCUCUUGCUUUCCCAAUGACUCCCAUUUUUCAUGUUCUUCUCUUUCUCCUUCCUUAGCCUUUCCCUGUCUCCACAACCUCAGCAGCAACACACAGCCAUGCUCUAGUACUGCCUGUCUUAGAAACAAAUGAAGAUGGGUGCAGAGGUGCACUCCUAUAAUCCCAACCACUCAGGAGGCUGAGACAGAAGGAUCACAAGUUAGAGGCCAACCUGGACAACUUAGUGAGGCCCUGUCUCAAAAUUUAAAAGAAAAGAAAAAAAAAAAAAAAACAAAGCAAAUGCUCCUGGACUCUACCUCCCACAUCAGCCACAGCCACACUUCCUGAAUAAAAGUCUACAUUAGCCAUUCAGUCUCAUGCACCCACUCCAAUCUGGCUUCUGUUACCACCACUCCGUUGAACUGUUCUGCCAGUUAUCAUCCCUGCAUAAAUUUAGUGUCUUUAAAAAACAAUUUAUUGUUGUGUCUUAUUCUUCUGUGGUUGGCUGGGCUCAGCUGGGAAAUUCUCACUUGGGUCUCUUCUUGUGAGAUUGCAAUCAGUGACUGGAACUGGAGUCAUCUGAAGGCUCAGCCUUGCUGGAAGUCCAAGACAGUUCACACAUGGCUGGCAGUUGACCCUGGCUGUUGGCUGGGAGCUUAGCCAGUGCUGGUGACUGGAGGGCCUCCAUGCGUACUCUGCAUAACUUGCACGUCUCAGAAUGGCAGCUGGGUUCUAAGAGGGAGUGUCUCAGGGCUUUCUGGGGGAACCCGCUGGAAGCAAGUCUUCUCAAGAGUGAGUGUUGGCAUCUGGUGCGGCCCUUCUUGCAGCAUCAUGACACGACAGAGGCCCAUACAUGGUGAGAGAGCAUGCCAUCCUGGGGUCCCACCCUCAUGACCCCAUCUCAUCCUAAUCAUCUAGUCAUGCAGCUUCACUUCCCCACAAACUCUUGGGCAUAAGCAAGACACAGUCCACAUGAGACUCAGUGGGAAGGGAUUACACAAGAGUGCAGUUGAUUUAGGGGGCCAUCUUUCACAGAUUGCUACUACAGUCACCAAAAAGUUGGUCCUCAUCUUCCUGAGUUCUUAACAGUAGUUGACUUGGUUGAACAUUUUUUCCCCCAAAAUCUCUCCCUUCUCCGGCUCCGUAGGCCCCUGGCUUUUCUCUUUCCUCACUGAUGCUCUUCCAUCUCCUUUCCUUCUCUUGCUGAAACCUAAAACUUCGACAACUUCAAAUUCUAGGCCUAGAAUUCUAGAAUCAUUUGCAGAAUUAUUUUUCUGAAGUGUUUCCCUGCACCCUCUUCUUUGUCCUGUAGUCAAUGCUGACUGUACAAAUGCUCUCUUCUGCUAGAUAUUACCUUUAACUUUGACCUCUAAUCUGUGCUCAGGACUGGGAUAUAGUCUGUCUUCUUUUUUGGGGAGUAGAAGUCAUUUUUUUUAAUACUAUUUAGUAUUAAAUAAAUAAUUUAUAUGGCCACAUAUAAAUUAUUAACCAUACAUAGUAAUUGGCAAACAAGUAUAUCUUGUGUGUAUAUGUUCUUUUUUUUCAUUUCCAGUAUCUUUCAUUUCCUGCCCUCUUUCCUCCCCCAUCUACUUGCUCUACUCCACCAUCACUCUUCUGUUAUUAUUUUUCAAAUUAAUGUAUCCAGCUGUCUUCUUGUUUGGGGGCAUGGGUACUGGGAUUGAAUCCAAGGGUGUGCUACCACUGAGUUAUAUCCAUGACCGGUUUUUAAAAGACAGGGUCUUGCUAAGUUGUUGAGGCUGGCCUUGAACUUGCAAUCCUCUGCCUCAGUCUCCUGAGUAGCUGAAAUUACAGGUGUGAGCCAUGCACCAUUAGAGCCAUGUCCUCUAGGUUGCUUUUGGUUUUUUUUUGUUUUUCUUUUUGCAGUGCUAGGGAUUAAACCCAGGAUCUUGCACAUACUGAGCAAGUGCUCUACAGUGGAGCUGCAUCCCAGCCCCACUGUCUUCUUGAUAGCUCCGUGUAGGUGUCUAGUGGCGAUUCAGACUUAAUACAUCCAGCUCUCCACUUCCACACCCUCCAGCCUGUUCUCUCUCAACAGAUGCAUCAUUACUCUCUCACAUUUAAGCAAACACACAGGGGAUACCAGAUUCCGUUUAGAUCCUAGAUUCUGUCUCACUACUCUUAACCCCCUCUCCCCAACUUCCAAUAAGCAAGUCCUGGUUUUUUUUUUUUUUUUGUGUGUGUGUGUGUGUGGGUAUGGGGGGGAGAACUUUAAUAUAUUUCUCCAAAUAUAUUUGAUUUUGAUUGUUUAGAAAAUUAAUACAUUUAGCUAGACUUGGUGGCACAUGCCUAUAACCCUAGCAAUUUGGGUCACUGAGGCAGGAUCACAAGUUUAAAGUCAGCCCUAGCAGCUUAGGGAGGCCCUAGGCAACUUAUCAAGACCCUGUAUCAAAAGUAAAAAAUAUAAAAGGGCUGGGGUUAAGCACCCCUGAUCUGGUACCAAAUAAAUAAAUAAAUAAAAAGUAAAAAAAAAAAAAAAAAAAGAAUAUAAAAGUGAUCUGUGACCUUAUCUUACAUUCUCAUUCAUCAAAACAUACUCCCAGUUAAUUAGCUAUUUCUUUUGCUAUUUAUUUCUCUACUUAAAAUUUUCAUAGGUAUGUUUUUUCUUAAUUGUCUAGUGUUAAGUAUUAUAUAUUGACUUUCAACUAUGGAAAAUGUGGGGUUUAAUGGUGUUUAACACUUUAAUAUGCCCAUUUCUUCCACAACCAAAUAUAUUCACUUAUCAUUUUCCAUUGCUUCCCAAAUAGUUUUAUCACAAUUUUUAGUAAAGUCAUUACCUAAUGCUGUGUUAGUCCAUUUAGGCUGCUAUUACAAAGUACCAUGAACAGGGUAGUUUAUCAACAACAGAAGUUUGUUUCUCAUGGUCUGGGAAGUCGAAGAUUGAGGGCCCACAUUUGGUGAGGGCCUUCUCUUUUUUUUUAAUUUAUUUUUUAGUUUUUGGUGGACACUCCAGCCCAGUGAGAGCCUUCUUGUGCUGUAUCAUGACAUGGCAGAAGGCAUCACAUGGUGAGGGAGAGAGGGAGGUAUGCCUGUUGAGAGCAAGAGAGCAAAAGAACCCUCCCAUCCCUUCUACAAUUGGCAUGAAUCCACACAAGAGGAUGGAGCCCUCAGGACCUGAACACCUCGCAUUAGGCCCCACCCCCAAUACUGUUGCAUUGGGGAUUAAGUUUCCAACACAUGCUUUUUCGGGGUACAUUCAAACACUGAAACUUCUCAAGAGUACCCUCUUCAAAUCCUGUCACCUUGGGGGUUAAGGAUUUUAACCUAGAAAUUUUGGAGGGAUACAAACAUUCAGGCUCUAGCAAGCAUUUAUAUUAAUACAAUUAUAUAAAUAUUAUUUGCAGAUAAACCAUGUAAUGGGCUAUGGUUAUCAUUUUUCCCUAUGGAGUGAAUAUUUGCCAUUGUGGGGGGAUUUUGUUAAGAAUUAUAUUUUAAAAAUUUUAAAAUAAUUACAGAUUUAUAAGGAAUUACAAAAAUAGUGCAGGAGGUCCUGUUUGUACCCUUGAACAGUUUCAAGACCUCCUGUAUUCCUUACCCAUUUCUCUAGUGGUAACAUCUUGAUCAGCUGCCGUGCACUAGCUAAGGUGGGAACUGAUGCUGGUAUAAUACUUGGACCUUACUCAGAUUUCACCAGUCCUCUGUUUUAGCUCUGUGUCUCUCAAAGCUACCACUUCCCUUUGUUUUUACCACUACAACAUUGUUCUGAGCUGCCACAUCUCUGUUAGGACUACUGCAACAUCCUCCUGACUUCUUGCUAUUCUCCAGUCUGUUUCCACAUAGCAGCAAGAAGCAGCUUCUAAUCACAAGAGUAGAUCAAGUCCUUUAACACUUUCCUGUUGCUCUUAGAAUACAAUUCUAACUCUUCAUUAUGACCUCCAAGACCCUGUGGGAUCUGGCUAUUUUACCUCCUUAUUUUAUUCUUUCUUUCUCUACCUUAUUUAUUUCCUUCCUUCCUUCUUUCCUUCCUUCCUUCCUUCCUUCCUUCCUUCUCUCUCUCUCUCUUUCUCUUUCUCUCUCUUUCUUUCUUUCCUUUUUUGCAGUACUGAGGAUUGAAACCAGAACUCUGCAGAUGCAAGGCAAACAUUCUACCACAGAGCUACAUCCCCAGCCCAUUCAUUUAUUUAUUUAAAGAAUUUUUUAGUUGUAGAUGGACACAAUAGCUUUAUUUUAUUUAUUCAUUUUUUAUGUGGUGCUGAGGAUUGAACCCAGCGCCUCACAUGUACAAGGCAAGCGCUCUGCCACUGAGCCACAACCCCAGUCCCAUUUAUAUAUUUUUGAGACAGGAUCUUGCUGUGUUGCCCAGGCUGACCUUGCACUUGUGAUCCUCACGUCCCAGCCUUCUGAGUGGCUGGGACACAGGUAUGUGCUUCUGUACCCAGCAGUGUCUCCCUCUUUAAUGACAUCUCAGACCCCUCCUUGUCUUCAGGCCUUGAGUGACCCUGACUGUUCCCUCCACCUUGUGCCUCCAGCAGUCCUCAGUGGCUGGCUUUUUGUUCUUUUUCAGGCCUCAGCUCAGAGGCCAGCCCCUCAGGCUCUCUCUGAUUAACCUAACUAAAGUGUCAUCUGUUUUUCAACAUCAAAUCUGUAGGUAAGUCCUAUUGGUUCUAUUUCAAAAUAUAUUCAAAAUAGGAUUGCAUCAUGCCUUGUCAGCUACCGAGGCCAGCUCUAGUCUAAGCUCUCAUCAUUUCUGGCCUGGACUGCUGCAGCAAGUUAGCUGAUGUCCUUUCUUACACUCCUACAGCACUUUCUUCACAAGCCAAAGUAGUCUUUAAAAAUGCAAAUGGAGUGGGGAGGGCCUGGGGUUGUGGCUCAGCAGUAGAGCAUAGCCUAGAUUGUUCCUUUAGCCUGGAGGAGGCCCUGGGUUUGAUCCUUACUCAGCACCACAUAAAAAUAAAUAGAUUAAUUAAAGAUUUUAAAAAAGAUGCAAAUUAAAAAAAGCAUAAAUCUGUAAUUAAUGGAUGUAUUUAUUGGUUUUCUUGCUUAAUGUCCAUUUCCCAUGUAAGGGUAAAAGAAAUUGAAGUUAAAGCGUAAAAGUUUAAGGGUAAAAGACCGGGUGUUGUAAAAGUUUCUAAGCUGCAAGGUCUGAGUUAAAAUGUAAAGGAGGUAUUGUUAGGUUUCUAUGUUACCUGCAAAACCUGAAAUUUCGGUAGCNUUCUGAUGUAUACAAAGCCCUCCGCCCUCCCCAAAAAGUGUACUUAAGCAGUGCUCAGCCCCUGCUCGGGGCUCUGGGCUGCUUUCCCUUCUUGAGUGGGCACAGAGCCCCAGCAUGCUGGUUCAAUAAAUCCCCCUUCUGCCAAUUGCAUGAGUGGUCACUUGGUGGUCUCUUUCUCCGACGUUUCGCGGGACCCUUACACCCAGUCUAGAGUAUAAGAUUCCCUUACUUUUCUUUUUUUUUAGGUGCUGGGAGUAGAACCAGGGCCUUGUGCAUGCUAGGCAAGUA
This 11232-nucleotide long non-coding RNA is filed under the name Marmota monax (woodchuck). Lineage: Eukaryota; Metazoa; Chordata; Mammalia; Rodentia; Sciuridae. The record is from RNAcentral.